This 675-nucleotide ribosomal RNA is filed under the name Triticum aestivum (bread wheat). Its description in RNAcentral is "partial small subunit ribosomal RNA". The record is from RNAcentral. Lineage: Eukaryota; Viridiplantae; Streptophyta; Magnoliopsida; Poales; Poaceae.
AUGAGCACCAGCGAGGCCGCCACUGUCAUCCCCGUUUACGACGUCGCCCCCGGCCAGGGAGCGCCCUCCAAGGCCCCCGCGGCCGCGGCCGUGCCUCCGGCUGCUGCCCCAGCCGCACCGCCCACGACAGCGCCGCGCAAGUUCCCCAUGCGGUUCUUCAGGCGGAGCGACCGCGGCAGCCGGUGCAUGGCGUUCCUCGACUUCCUGCUGAGGAUCGCGGCGUUCGGGCCCGCCCUCGCGGCGGCCAUCGCCACCGGCACGUCCGACGAGACGCUCUCCGUCUUCACCGAGUUCUUCCAGUUCCGCGCCCGUUUCGACGACUUCCCGGCCUUCCUGUUCCUCAUGGUGGCGAGCGCGAUCGCCGCGGGGUACCUGCUGUUAUCCCUCCCAUUCUCCGCCGUCGUCGUGCUGCGGCCUCAGACCACCGUCCUGAGGCUUCUCUUGCUCGUCUGCGACACGAUCAUGCUUGGGCUGCUGACGGCGGGGGCAGCGGCGGCGGCGGCCAUCGUGGACCUGGCGCACAGCGGGAACGAGCGCGCCAACUGGGUGCCCAUCUGCAUGCAGUUCCACGGCUUCUGCCGGCGCACGAGCGGCGCAGUCGUGGCCUCCUUCCUCUCCGUCUUCAUCUUCGUGCUCCUCGUCGUCCUCGCCGCCUUCUCCAUCAGGAAGCGCUGA